RNAcentral lists this small nuclear RNA (220 nucleotides) under Dasypus novemcinctus (nine-banded armadillo). RNAcentral describes it as "7SK RNA (ENSDNOG00000030559.1)". The stretch from base 1 to 183 matches the Rfam family "7SK RNA". Rfam says of the family: 7SK was discovered as an abundant small nuclear RNA in the mid-70s but a possible function has only recently been suggested. Two independent studies have found that 7SK RNA binds the CDK9/cyclin T complex (known as elongation factor P-TEFb). P-TEFb activates transcription by phosphorylating the C-terminal domain of RNA polymerase II. The record is from RNAcentral. Lineage: Eukaryota; Metazoa; Chordata; Mammalia; Cingulata; Dasypodidae.
GAAUGUCAAGGUGAUCUGGUUACAAUACUUGUCAUCGCAGUGAUCGCUAAGGUUUAAUCAGCUGAUGUGGUUGGAUAGAGAGCAUGGGCCAUCCUUCUUUAUAUUUGCAUUUGCCCCUCUCCAGAGCUGCCCAAUUGACCAUAGAGGCUGACUUUCCUUAUCAGAGUAAGAAUAACUGAUAUAAACCAGUGGCAAAACCAAGAUUCAAACCCAGGUGCCU